UAGAACUAACAGGAUUCCCCUAGUAACUGCGAGUGAAGCGGGAAAAGCUCAAAUUUAAAAUCUGGCGGUCUUUGGCUGUCCGAGUUGUAAUUUAGAGAAGCGUCUUCCGCGCCGGUCCGUGCACAAGUCUCCUGGAAUGGAGCGUCAUAGAGGGUGAGAAUCCCGUCUUUGGCACGGAUGCCUGGUGCUUCUGUGAUGCGCUCUCGAAGAGUCGAGUUGUUUGGGAAUGCAGCUCAAAAUGGGUGGUGAACUCCAUCUAAAGCUAAAUAUUGGCGAGAGACCGAUAGCGAACAAGUACCGUGAGGGAAAGAUGAAAAGCACUUUGGAAAGAGAGUGAAACAGUACGUGAAAUUGUUGAAAGGGAAACGCUUGAAGUCAGUCGCGUCGACCGAGACUCAGCCUUGCCUUGGCUUGGUGUACUUCUCGGCACGACGGGUCAGCAUCAAUUUUGCCCCUCGGAUAAUGGCAAGGGAAAGGUGGCACCUUCACGGGUGUGUUAUAGUCUCCUGUCGCAUGCGAGGGGUGGGAUUGAGGAACUCAGCGCGCACCUUGGUGUCGGGGCUUCGGCCCACGUCACGCGCUUAGGAUGCUGGCGUAAUGGCUUUAAACGACCCGUCUUGAAACACGGACCAAGGAGUCUAACAUGCCCGCGAGUGUUCGGGUGGAAAACCCGUGCGCGUAAUGAAAGUGAAAGUUGGGACCUCUGUCGUGGAGGGCACCGACGCCCGGACCAGACCUUCUGUGACGGAUCUGCGGUAGAGCGUGUAUGUUGGGACCCGAAAGAUGGUGAACUAUGCCUGAAUAGGGUGAAGCCAGAGGAAACUCUGGUGGAGGCUCGUAGCGAUUCUGACGUGCAAAUCGAUCGUCAAAUUUGGGUAUAGGGGCGAAAGACUAAUCGAACCAUCUAGUAGCUGGUUCUGCG
This 922-nucleotide ribosomal RNA is filed under the name Lactarius yazooensis. Its description in RNAcentral is "partial large subunit ribosomal RNA". It matches the Rfam family "Eukaryotic large subunit ribosomal RNA", at positions 56 to 961 of the family's 3401-position model. The record is from RNAcentral. Lineage: Eukaryota; Fungi; Basidiomycota; Agaricomycetes; Russulales; Russulaceae.